AAUAAGUGCAGCCUUGUACGGUUCACGUCUAAUAUUUAACUUUUUGUCUUAUUUAAAAAUUUUUUAUUAUUAGUAUUUUUAUUGUUAUUAGAUGAUAAAAUAUGAGUAAUAUUUUAUGUGUGACUAAUUUAUUUUAAUUUUUUCAUAAACUUUUCAAAGACGGACGGUCAAAAGUUUUGACACUUAUU
This 188-nucleotide microRNA precursor is filed under the name Oryza glumipatula. Its description in RNAcentral is "MIR812 microRNA precursor family". It matches the Rfam family "MIR812 microRNA precursor family". The record is from Rfam by way of RNAcentral. Lineage: Eukaryota; Viridiplantae; Streptophyta; Magnoliopsida; Poales; Poaceae.